This is a long non-coding RNA of Pungitius pungitius (ninespine stickleback), 2423 nucleotides long. RefSeq lists it as uncharacterized. The transcript is spliced from 3 exons. Lineage: Eukaryota; Metazoa; Chordata; Actinopteri; Perciformes; Gasterosteidae. The record is from RefSeq and is a predicted model, not a curated record.
UGCAAACACGUUUUGGGAUUUUACUAGAUGUUACGGGGAACUGUUACGUUAAAGAACUCAAUUACCCAGCAGUCUUUGUUGACGGACAUGCGCAGAGUAGAGGGCGGCUCGUAGUGUCGCGUGAGUUAAUGCUGUUAUCGCGAGAGGUCGCCAUUGGAGCCUCUGCGUUGAACAGCUGCAGGUCCAGUUGUAUGCAGUCCGUAUUUUAUAUUUUAAACUGCUUACUACACACCUAUGCUUACACCCAAACGGACUAAACCAAGUGGAGAUGCUUUGGACGAUGGCCCGUGCAAAGUCAUGCCACCAGUCUGAGGACAUCACUGGGAAUGGCACAUGGGACACGUGGCUUUCAACUCCAGCGAGGUGGGCUUCACCGCGGGCAAUCGUGGCAAAGACCCAAGUCGACUGGACCACAGCGGAAAAUGAUCCUUCCAGAGAAGAAGUUAUUUACUUCUACAACGAAUGGAAGAGUUACAACUUCCAGAUGACAGCUCGCCGCUCAUCCUUCUGGGCAACUUGAACAUCCGACAGAACUUAUGUGACCUACUGCGUUUAUUUUCUCCUUUAGCUCUCACUAACUCUAACUUGCCCCAGCACCUGUUGUGAUUUAUUCUAGCGCUUCCACAAUUGAAUUUUGCUUGGUAUUUUAUCUAACUUGCCCCAGCACCUGUUGUGAUUAAUUCUCUCUCACGGUGUCAAGUGUGUACCUUGAUCUUUUUUUUGCUCAUUGCAGCCCUUCUCUGCAAGGAGUGCUAACAAUGCAUGGUGCUGUUCAUUAAGCAACUGGGUAAAGAGCUUGUAAUGCCACAUAUGAAAAAGCUCAUAAGCUCAUUUAUAAUAAAAUAAUAUAUAUAAUCUUGCCUUGACUGAAUGGGGGCGAUCAAAGUUAUUUUGGUGACGUUUUGAUCAUUGAUUCACAACAAGUCCUGUGUUGUAUAGGUUUGCUUGAUGCUUUGGAAUCUGUAGACCUGGAUUUGUUAUCAACCUGAAUUGACAAUCCAUUGACAACAUUGCUGGAAUCUCCUCUCCCUUAAGACUGCAAUAUUACUUUUAGCUGAAAGUACAUGGCUCCACUGAUUCAAUUUGAAUUCACCAAUAUAUAAUGCCCCGGGGGAGAAGCGGAUCUUACUAAAUGUAUUCAUUAAUUCAUUAAGCAAAGCUCUCUUCAGGAAGACAGCCACGUCGUCAUCCAGCGGGUUUGGUUAAAAAGUUUACAUAUCUUGAUGGAGCAAAAGAGGUGGGGUUAGCUGUCGUCAUUGUACCUCGACUAAUCCAAGGUGAUCCUACGUUUCAAUAUUGCAUCAAGCUAAAGAAUCAAACAAUAACAUUUAAGAUCCAACAGCUAACCGUUACGCGCUCUCCACUUCUUACAGAGCACUUCAAACAUGGUCAUGUUAUCGCCUGAAGCCACACACUGAAUCCACAGCUCCCGUGUUUUACAGAGACUCAAACGGGUGUGACUUGACUGUAUGAAAACGUGAUCUUCAAUAAACGAAUGACUUUCCGUACGACAAGGUCUGUGACAACUGGCUGAUCGAGGGUCGUCACAUGUAGGGGCCCGGUUCACGCGACGCCCCAGGUCGACCUUCUGAUUUCCCGUCCGUGUUCCUCCUUUUUUUAAACGCGUGUCCGGCUGAUCUAACGGACAAAAUGAUUCAGGUAACUCUCCUUGCUGAGGUUUUUAAAUAACUGUACACUUAGAGCAGGGGUGUUAAACUAUUUUCAGGUUGGGGCCAGAAACUGCUCCGUGGCACAUGAACAGAAUGACACAGCUGACUGACUGAUAUAAAUAGCGGAGCCACAGACGCGCUCGUAGUCUUGCGUCAGUUCAUGCUGUUAUCGCGAGAGUACGCCAGCUCUAACGUAAUGUAUUUCUGUUCAAAGUAACCACUAUCCAGGUCUUGCACUUUGUACAUCGUCCCAAGUUAUUUAAUUACACUACUGAUGUGACUUAAAUUGUGUUUAUUGAAGAAUGCUGCAAAAUAUUGAUCCCUCUGCCCUGACGCAAUGUGGGUCAAUCGCCUUUUUUUUAGGUCACUUUUCGAUUUCGCAAUCACAAGUCAGCACGUAGCUCCGUUGCUUAUUCACAGGACUUUCAAUAUUUUGACCCGGGUUCGCUUCCCGUUAGAGCCAUCGUUUUUUUUCUUCUUUUUAACUGCGAGCCCGGCCGACCGCCGCCCCACCCCAACGUGCGAGAAGUGGCGAAGGCCCGUUCAUCGCUGCUUGCAGCUUUAAUUAGGGCCUGAGCCGACUGCAAGUCGGGCGAAAGCCCUAUUGAAAUUGCAAGAAUUCAUUAGGGCCUGAGCCGACUGAAAGUCGGGCGAAAGCCCUAUUGAAAUUGCAAGAAUUAUUAUUAUUAUUAUUUCGCCACUUCGAACGCACUUUUGGGGACUUCAUCAUGUUCAAAAACUCUUGAAUUUUUG